CUACGGGGUGCAGCAGUCGAGAAUCUUCCGCAAUGGGCGCAAGCCUGACGGAGCAAUGCCGCGUGAGGGAUGACGGCCCUAGGGUUGUAAACCUCUGUCAGAAGGGACGAAGAACGUGACGGUACCUUCAGAGGAAGCCAUGGCUAACUACGUGCUAGCAGCCGCGGUAAUACGUAGAUGGCGAGCGUUAUUCGGAUUUACUGGGCGUAAAGGGUCCGUAGGGGGUCUGCCAAGUCUGAUGUGAAAUCCUGCGGCUCAACCGCGGAACUGCGUUGGAAACUGGCGGACUAGAGUGUGCGAGGGGUGAGCGGAAUUCCUGGUGUAGCGGUGGAAUGCGUAGAUAUCAGGAAGAACACCGAUGGCGAAGGCGGCUCACUGGCGCAUCACUGACCCUGAGGGACGAAAGCGUGGGUAGCAAACAGGAUUAGAUACCCCCGUAGUC
This 442-nucleotide ribosomal RNA is filed under the name uncultured bacterium. RNAcentral's name for it is "partial 16S ribosomal RNA". It matches the Rfam family "Bacterial small subunit ribosomal RNA", at positions 339 to 795 of the family's 1533-position model. The record is from RNAcentral.